GAUGAACGCUGGCGGCGUGCCUAAUACAUGCAAGUCGAGCGAACAGAUAAGGCGCUUGCUCCUUUGACGUUAGCGGCGGACGGGUGAGUAACACGUGGGUAACCUACCUAUAAGACUGGAAUAACUCCGGGAAACCGGGGCUAAUGCCGGAUAAGAUUUAGAACCGCAUGGUUCUAAAGAGAAAGCUGGUUUUGCUAUCACUUAUAGAUGGACCCGGGCCGUAUUAGCUAGUUGGUAAGGUAACGGCUUACCAAGGCAACGAUCCGUAGCCGACCUGAGAGGAUGAUCAGCCACACUGGAACUGAGACACGGUCCAGACUCCUACGGGAGGCAGCAGUAGGGAAUCUUCCGCAAUGGGCGAAAGCCUGACGGAGCAACGCCGCGUGAGUGAUGAAGGUCUUCGGAUCGUAAAACUCUGUUAGUAGGGAAGAACAAAUGUGAAAUAAACUGUUCACGUCUUGACGGUACCUAAACAGAAAGCCACGGCUAACUACGUG
Molecule: ribosomal RNA, 497 nt
Filed under: uncultured bacterium
Lineage: Bacteria
Description: partial 16S ribosomal RNA
Rfam family: Bacterial small subunit ribosomal RNA
Source: RNAcentral